This 1113-nucleotide long non-coding RNA is filed under the name Anolis carolinensis (green anole). Its description in RNAcentral is "lncRNA (ENSACAG00000031804.2)". Lineage: Eukaryota; Metazoa; Chordata; Lepidosauria; Squamata; Anolidae. The record is from RNAcentral.
GGGGGAAGCGUGGGAGCCGUGGGUCGUGGAAAAGGAAGGUGUGACUCUCACGUCUUUUCCCAGCUUCGUUUGAUGGGAGAAAAAGAUGGAGUUUGCACCCAGAAAAGCCCCACCUGCGACACCCCAAGACCGGCCUUUUACGCACAAACCUUUUACGCACAAACCUUUUUACGCACAGAAAGAACCCCCAUCUCAUACCACUUUUGGGGUGGAGACCUCUCCCUACAGAAUCCAGACCUUUUCCCCACAAUCCUUGGGUUGCAAAAGGGGGGUUCCCUUCCUCCCUUGUCUAUCAGCCCCCCAAUUUUCUAAAACAGAACACAAUUCACAUUCAUUUUGGACCCAUUUCCCCCUGCUGUUUGGAUCCUGACGCCAACGGGGAGCGCGGCGAAGGAGACGAAGGAACGGGUGGAGGAACGGCGUUACAGGCCCAGCAACGACGUUACACCCAUCCCUCCCUGGCCCCGAUCCUUCAGUAUAGAUAAGAAAACCCACUCGCCAAAGAGACACACAAUACACAUCCUUGUUACUCUUGCUUUCCUGUCUUGAGUGUCUUACCGGGAAGGAAGCGGCCGACGCCCACCGCGCUUCUUCUUCUCUUCCUCCUCUUGCUCCUUCUUGUCUUCCUCCUCGAUGCUGCUCCAGAUGUGGAAGGUGGGCGACCUGGGAAGCAGGAGGGCGAGCUGUCAAUCAAUGGCAGGAGCAGCGAGGAUGGAAGGAAGGCACCAAGGGAGCCGCUGCUACUGCUGCUGCGAAGUGCCUAGUCCCACCCAGGCGCGUGUCUGUCUCUCUCUGCGUGUGUGUGCCUUUUGCGCGUGUCUGUGUGUGAUAUCAGCUCUCUCUUGCACAGGAAACACCCAGCCACUUCUUCUUCCUCCUCCUCCUCCUCCUCUACCUCCUCCUCCUCCAGCUGCUCCAGGGCGGGCCAGGCGUCUCUCUGGGCUUCCCCAGCUGGGACACAUGAUUGCCCGCCUCCCUCGCCUGCCCGACUUCUCUUUCUUGCUCGCUCAUUGCUUCAUAUCACUAACCUUCUUGCUUGUUUGCUUGCUUUCUUGCUGGCCAGCCCUCUCUCAUUCCUUUUUGCUAGCUAGCCUUUUUGUUUUUUUUAAAUAG